Molecule: ribosomal RNA, 551 nt
Filed under: uncultured bacterium
Lineage: Bacteria
Description: bacterial SSU rRNA
Rfam family: Bacterial small subunit ribosomal RNA
Source: RNAcentral
UGGGGAAUUUUGGACAAUGGGGGCAACCCUGAUCCAGCCAUGCCGCGUGCGGGAAGAAGGCCUUCGGGUUGUAAACCGCUUUUAGCUGGGAAGAAAAGGCCAUCGUUAAUAGCGGUGGUUCUUGACGGUACCGGCGGAAUAAGCACCGGCUAACUACGUGCCAGCAGCCGCGGUAAUACGUAGGGUGCGAGCGUUAAUCGGAAUUACUGGGCGUAAAGCGUGCGCAGGCGGUUCGUUUUGUUUGCGGUGAAAGCCCCGGGCUCAACCUGGGAAUGGCCGUGAAAACUGGCGAGCUGGAGUGUGGCAGAGGGGGGUGGAAUUCCAGGUGUAGCCGUGAAAUGCGUGGAGAUCUGGAGGGAACACCGAUGGGCGAAGGGCAGCCCCCUGGGCUGACACUGACGCUCAGGCACGAAAGCGUGGGGAGCAAACAGGAUUAGAUACCCUGGUAGUCCACGCCCUAAACGAUGGCAACUGGGUGUUGGGGGAGCGAUUCCUCAGUACCGUAGCUAACGCGUGAAGUUGCCCGCCUGGGGAGUACGGCCGCAAGGUUA